This 478-nucleotide ribosomal RNA is filed under the name uncultured bacterium. RNAcentral's name for it is "partial 16S ribosomal RNA". It matches the Rfam family "Bacterial small subunit ribosomal RNA", at positions 28 to 507 of the family's 1533-position model. The record is from RNAcentral.
GAUGAACGCUGGCGGCGUGCUUAACACAUGCAAGUCGAACGGGAAACCUUUUAUUGAAGCUUCGGCAGAUUUAGCUGGUUUCUAGUGGCGGACGGGUGAGUAACGCGUGGGUAACCUGCCUUAUACAGGGGGAUAACAACCAGAAAUGGUUGCUAAUACCGCAUAAGCGCACAGGACCGCAUGGUCCGGUGUGAAAAACUCCGGUGGUAUAAGAUGGACCCGCGUUGGAUUAGCUAGUUGGCAGGGUAACGGCCUACCAAGGCGACGAUCCAUAGCCGGCCUGAGAGGGUGAACGGCCACAUUUGGACUGAGACACGGCCCAGACUCCUACGGGAGGCAGCAGUGGGGAAUAUUGCACAAUGGGGGAAACCCUGAUGCAGCGACGCCGCGUGAAGGAAGAAGUAUCUCGGUAUGUAAACUUCUAUCAGCAGGGAAGAUAGUGACGGUACCUGACUAAGAAGCCCCGGCUAACUACGUG